GGAGAGAUGGCUGAGUGGCUGAAGGCGCACGCCUGGAAAGUGUGUUUAGGUUAACUCCUAACGAGGGUUCGAAUCCCUCUCUCUCCG
This 87-nucleotide transfer RNA is filed under the name Arsukibacterium sp. MJ3. It matches the Rfam family "tRNA". From Rfam's summary of the family: Transfer RNA (tRNA) molecules are approximately 80 nucleotides in length. Their secondary structure includes four short double-helical elements and three loops (D, anti-codon, and T loops). Lineage: Bacteria; Pseudomonadati; Pseudomonadota; Gammaproteobacteria; Chromatiales; Chromatiaceae. The record is from Rfam by way of RNAcentral.